This 440-nucleotide ribosomal RNA is filed under the name uncultured bacterium. RNAcentral describes it as "partial 16S ribosomal RNA". It matches the Rfam family "Bacterial small subunit ribosomal RNA", at positions 338 to 795 of the family's 1533-position model. The record is from RNAcentral.
CCUACGGGUGGCUGCAGUGGGGAAUAUUGCACAAUGGGGGCAACCCUGAUGCAGCGACGCCGCGUGAAGGAAGAAGUAUUUCGGUAUGUAAACUUCUAUCAGCAGGGAAGAAAAUGACGGUACCUGACUCAGAAGCACCGGCUAACUACGUGCCAGCAGCCGCGGUAAUACGUAGGGGGCACGCGUUAUCCGGAUUUCCUGGGUGGAAAGGGAGCGUAGGCGGUUUAGCAAGUCAGAUGUGAAAGCCCGGGGCUCAACUCGGGGACUGCGUUUGAAACUGUUGAACUAGAUUGCAGGAGAGGGAAGUGGAAGUCCUGGUGUAGCGGUGAAAUGCGUAGAGAUUAGGAGGAACACCAGUGGCGAAGGCGGCUUACUGGACGGUAAAUGACGCUGAGGUGCGAAAGCGUGGGGAGCAAACAGGAUUAGAUACCCGUGUAGUC